UACGAAGGGGGCUAGCGUUGUUCGGAUUUACUGGGCGUAAAGCGCACGUAGGCGGAUCGUUAAGUCGGGGGUGAAAUCCUGGAGCUCAACUCCAGAACUGCCUUCGAUACUGGCGAUCUUGAGUCCGGAAGAGGUGAGUGGAACUCCUAGUGUAGAGGUGGAAUUCGUAGAUAUUAGGAAGAACACCAGUGGCGAAGGCGGCUCACUGGUCCGGUACUGGACGCUGAGACGCGAAAGUGUGGGGAGCGAACGAG
Molecule: ribosomal RNA, 254 nt
Filed under: uncultured bacterium
Lineage: Bacteria
Description: partial 16S ribosomal RNA
Rfam family: Bacterial small subunit ribosomal RNA
Source: RNAcentral